UGGAAACGUCUCGAGUUAUUACCAUGAAAAUAUCAGUUGAGUCGUCGGGCCAUCAGUAAUUUCCUUAUGUCUAUCUGGCUAUUGAUUGAUAUGGCCUCACGACUCAGUUGAUAAAGCGAUGAUUAGUCAGAUAAAAGUAGGGAAAUUAUUGACGGCCUGGCAUGUUGAAUGAUAACGCGCUGAUUAGGCAGCUAGAUAUAAGGAAGUGAUUACCGUCCGACGACUCAAGUGAUAAAGCUCUGACUAGGCAGCUAUCCAAGCUAAGCCAGGAACAACCGCACGUCCCACGUGUGGGUGUGCUCCAACAAGGCCAACAGUUGCAAGGCCAAGGUCUACAUGAGCGCUAAGAACACUGUGGUGGAUUACUCCUUACUACAAAACUGAAGACAUACAUCAUGUCUUGCUAAAACAUGGGCAUCCAUAGCUAGUCUACAAUAAUUUGUCCUGCAAACGUCUCGAGUUAAAGGUUACUUGCAUUAUUAACUGAGUCAUCAGGCCAUAAGUCAUUUCUCCAUGUCAUCUGUCUAUUGAUAUGGCCUCACGGCUCAUUUGAUAACGCGCUGGCUAAUCAGAUAAGCGUAGGGACAGGGUAUUAGAGCGCGCUGUGUAUACCUUCUCAUGGUAGUAGCAAAUUAAAAUCUCUCUAAUAAAUAAUCCUAACAAAUAAUAGAUCUAAUAACAUUAAAAUCUAAUAACAAUAAAUAAUUUGAUAAGAAGGCUAAAGUAAAGUGCAUAUGCUAUGAAGUAAGUAGGCAAUAUACUUGUAAUUAAAUUCUUUUCUUGGUGACUUGGGUAUGUUUUUUAUUAGUAUGUUUCUUAUAUGUAUAUCUAAAUAUAGUUUGAAUUAAGUAUGAGUAAAACACCUUGGAACAACAAUUGAUAUAAUAUGUAUAUUAUGACAUAAUGUAUAUAAUUAUUCUAAAUUAAUAAUGAAUGGAAUAAUACUAUGGUAAAAUUAUCGUUUAGAUUUUAAUAAGCAAUUUUAAUAAUAAUGUAAUUUUCAAUAAAUUCUGCUUCAAAUGAGUCUUUGUUCUUAUUUAAAUGUUUAGUUUAUUAUGUCAACCACUGACGAUCAAGUAAGCUCACAUGCCUUCAGCGCUAAUGAGUUGACGUCCGAUAAAAUUGAAUGUGAGCUUAUCGGAUAGUGAGUGGUUAGCAUUAGGUACAAGACUUUUUAAAGUCAACUACCCUCAAUGAAUUUAGUGAAUUACCUAGUUGUAACAUAAUUACUUUCUAUAAUAUGACAUAGGUCAUGUUUAUUGACAGUGUCUGUUCGAACAGAUUUGAAAGUGGUACUUCUACGAGAAUUUUUGCAAUUAUCAACGCCACGCAAACGUAGACCUAAAACCAAAGAAGAGAUAAAAGAACAGAAACGAAUCGCAGAACGGUUGAGAUAUCGACAACUUAAAAGUGAUCCCGCAAAAAAGGCGCAGAUGGAAGAAAAAGAACGUCAAAGAUACCGAAAGCUGAAAGAGACGGGUCAACGGAAACUGGUUAAAGAUAUGAACCAUCGUGAACAUAAAGCUGCAGCCAAGAAAUGGAAACAGUAUAGUUCUACUUACCGGUCAAAGAAAAAAACUUUUGAAUGAAGUCGUGAAUUAUGUGAAUUUGUAAAGAUUACAAUUUUUUAAUAAAACCUGACCUAGCAAACCUUUUUUUUUUUUAAUUCUUUACAAGUUAGCCCUUGACCACAAUCUCACCUAUAGGUAAGUGAUGAUGCAGUAUAAGAUGGAAGCGUGCUAACUUGUUAGGAGUAGGUUGAAAUUCCACAUCCCUUAUAGUUUCUUCACGAUAUCAUACAUCAUCGCUGGCAGCACGCACUGUUCGAAGACUUUCGUCUUCAGGCACUGAGGAAUGUUUUUUCCUUUAAUAUAAUUUAUUUAAUUUGUUUCUUUUUCUAUUCGGGUUUUAUAACAGUUUUUCAAAACUUUCAGAUAUCAAAAUAGAAUAUCUUUCGAAGAAAAAAAGUUCUAAGAAAAGAAAAUAUGCACUUAAUCAUUUUCCAACAUGGGGUCUAAAGAGAAAACGUUGCAAGUAUCCGAAAUGUAGUAAAAAAACAUCUGUGUACUGUAAAGAGUGUCGUGUUGACUUAUGCUUCAAUAGAGAAAGCAAAUGUUUUUAUAAUUAUCACAGAUAAAUAAAGGUCGUAUUAUCAUCAUCAUAUCAGCAGGACACUGCAGGACAUAGGCCUUUUGUAGGUACUUCCAAACAUCACGAUCCAGAGCCGUCUGCGUCCAGUAAAUCCCUCAAAUUAAAUCAUGUUUAAUAUUCUAAAUAAUAAAAUUAGUCUUUUCUUUAAUAUAAUUUUAUAAUUUUGGUUGUUGUUGCAUUCGGUCUUGAUAUGACUUUUAAUUGUUGAAGAAAUAGAAAAUCUUUUGAAGAAAAAAAGUUCCGAAAUAAAAAAAGAUCGACUUCAUCAUUUACCUGCAUGGGGUGUAACGAGAAAACGUUGCAAGUAUCCUAAACGUAGUAAAAGUACAUAUGUACUGAACAGUGUGAACAGUGUUGUGUUGACUUUUGCUUUAAUAGAGAUAACAAAUGUAUACUUUUAUAAGUAUCACAAAUAGAAAGAGAUCUCAUUUCUAUUUUCAAUUUAAAACUUUUAAUAAAAUUCAAAAAAUGUCAAAUUUUUUUUAUUUCAAUUAGGCUUAGUUUACAAGCACUUUUGAAAGGUCAGAUAUAUGACAAAAUUUAAUUUUAUCUAAUAGUGGUAAUAAUAGACGAAAACUUAAAAUUAAAGUCACGAGGGUUCCAAUUAUAUUAAUAAAUAAUUUUGUCCAUUGUUUUUUGUUGCAAUCAAGCAAGUCUCUUGAUUUUCUUAACUAGGUUUAUCUUCAUUUAAAUAUAUUUAUGUAAUAAAAACUAAAUCUUUUCUUUCUAAUAGGUUUUCAUACUUUACAAGACUAAAGUAUAGCCGUGAUAGCCCAGUGGAUAUAACCUCAGCCUCCGAUUCCGGAGGGAAGUGGGUUCGAAUCCGGUCCGGAGCAAGCACCUCCAAUUUUUCAGUUGUGUGCAUUUUAGGAAAUUAAAUAUCAUGUGUCUCAAACGGUGAAGGAAAAACAUCGUGAAGAAACCUGCAUACCAGAGAAUAUUCCUAAUUCUCUGCGUGUGUGAAGUCUGCCAAUCCGCAUUGGGCCAGCGUGAUGGACUAUUGGCCUAACCCCUCUCAUUCUGAGAGGAUACUCGAGGUCAGCAGUGAGCCGAAUGUGGGUUGAUAAUCAUGAAGACUAUAGUAGACAACACGACAUUCUAAACCAAAGUUGGUCAAUCUAUUUCGUUACUGGCUGAAGACUAAUCUAAGUAAGCACUAGACUUACGUACAUAAUAAGGUAGCCUUCCAUCUUAAAUUGCCUCAUUACUUACCAUCAGGUGACAUUGUAGUCAAGGGCUAACUUGUAAAGAAUAAAAAAUAAAAAACUUAUAUAAAAUAUGAAAAUUCUAUAUUCAAUAAGGAUUAAUUUCAAAAUUGAAAAUGACUGAUGCGAUGCUUUUUAUGGUUUAUGGUAUAGUAAUUUCAUGGUGCUUGAAAAUUAUACUCGCUACAGAAAUAUCGUCAGGAACUUUUGUGAAAAUUUGUGUUGAACCUUUUCAGCUUCCAUCAGAACUAUUACCGAGUCAGCUAUUUAUGUUUCUAUGAAACAUUUCCUCGUUGAGCUACCUAAAAUAGGAACAAGAGGAACACGAAAGAGAUGCAUUGGCUGUUACAAAAAAUUUAAAAGUGAAGGGAAAUCUUCCAAGAUCGCUUGGAGAAUGGCCACCAACGUUCGUCAAGAAUGCACACAAUGCAAAAAAGGUACACACAAGUACAUCGCAUCAUCACGUGGUGGUCUUCUGCUGAUGAUAAACAACUAUACCUUCGCGAGAGUAAAUCGCGCUUCCCGCGUCUGGAUAUGUUCCUCACUCAAAACCACCGCCUGUCAAGCCAGGGUACGAAUGAGCUCAGACGAAACCUUUACGCAGUGUAACUUACAACAUAAUCACGAACCCCCUGAAUACUUCAGAACGUCAGAGGGGGUGUAUGUUAAAAUAAGGUCAGCAUCAUCGCAAUCACAAUCCAUGGAGGUCCAACACUAAGCAUAGGACUUCUGGGCUUUCCAAAUGUUUCUUGGCCGCCUAGUACGUUUACUAAGGAGCUAUUUUUAUCGAUCUUUUUGGCGUAUCAAGUCUGGUAGCAACUCCGCGCCACGAAAGAAGUCCUGCGGCUAAAACCUGAGCUAAAAUUGACAGCGCCAUAGACAAAUGAGAGACAUUAGCGCCGCGUCUACGUGAUUCGUUUCGUGGCGUAGUAUGCUAUAGCUACUUUUAAAUGAUUAUCAUCUCGGGUUCAUUUACGACCAUAAUAUAUUUUUUUAAUUGGCUAUGGUUUGGUCUGGCGGUACUAUUGGCCGUUGCUAGUUACCACAGUAAAUAAAUAUAUUUUCUGUGCCAUUACCGACAAAGACGUACCGCCAAGCGACUUACUGCAGGCGUCCACAGAUCCGCAUCGUACGCAUCGCACUAAUCGCACCCAAUGCAUUUUAUGUACCUGCCGUAAAAUUCAAAAUCCGUUUGAUGCGAUGCGACCGAUACGUUCGUUGCGGAUCAGUGGACGCCUAUCGUUAGCGUUCUGAUAUGACGAGUCGUAGAAAUCGUCGAGGGUACCAAUGGGCAAAAUAAACUUGCACUACUUCCAAGCAGAGUAUAAAACAAAGGUUGUACUCGUAGUAUAAUGGUUAAUAAUGAUAAUUUAUAAAUUGAUAGCAUGAUUUUAUUAAUUAAAUAAAUAUUUUUUUAUUCAACUUCUUUUAUUAUUUAACAUGUUUUUAAAUACUAAUAAAAAAAACAUACAAACAGCCGAACAGCCCCCUCCUUUUUGGAAAUCGAUUAAAAAUAAUAUUAAUCGUAUUUUUUAACAUUCCUCUAAUUAAGACAAUCGUUUCAGACAAUGUUUUAGAAUAUUUUACCAAGCCUAACGGGAAUGUCCUGCUUAUACUAGAUGGGUAUACGUUUGCUAAAGCCAACAAGAACUCCUACAUUUGGAACUGCUCCAACAAGUGGCGGGGUUGCAAGUCUCGCGUCAGGAUUGAUCACUCCCAAACCAUCACCGAGAGAUACUGUAUACACAAUCACGAGCCACCCAAAUUUGAAUUAGAUGAAGAAGGGAAAUAUGUUAAGAGAUAUAAUAGUAAACACGUUUAUGAAGUUAUCACUCCACACUGAAGAUAUUGAGGCAAAUGAAAACUAAUAUUAUUUAUAGCCUCAAUAGCUCAACGGUAAGAGUGGUUGGACUCAUCACCGAGGGCUGGUGGUUCCAUUCCCGCCCCGUUGGUCUAUUGUCGUACCCACUCCUAGCACAGUCUUUCCUGACUAGUUGGAGGGGUACGGGAAUAUUGUUCAUAUUAUAAAAAAAUAAAGAAAAUAUAAAUAAAAAAAAAUAUUGGUCGAUAAUCCACUGCAAUACAGAAGGCAUACAACACUUGGAAAAUGUAUACAUUUCCUAGGUAUUGUAUUAGGUUUCGAAAUCGUGUUAGGAAAUGUAUAAAAGUGCACUUAAGAAUGGCAAAAUGGUUAGGUUAGAAUUUUUUUUAAUAAUAUAUUUUUGCACAGACUUUUGGUUAUACAAGGUUAGGUUAGGUUGGGUUUUGUUAGAUUCGGAUAAUGCGAUUUAGGAAUUGUAUAAAUUUUCUAGGAAAUGUGUUUAAUAUAAUUUACUAACGCCCGCAACUUUGUCCGUGUGGAAUUCAGUUUUUCACAAAACCCGGGUACCAUGGAUUUUCUGGGAUGUAAAUUAGUCUUGGAGUUUGCUUGGAGUUUUUUUCUUUACCACACGAUGGACCCGGCACGGUGAAUCCAUGGAUUGCUAAGAUAUUCGUCUCAUUUCCUAGGAAUUAUAUACAACACAAGACACGCUAACUUUGGUGCUAGAUGGCGAUGUGUGUAUUGUCCAAAAGAAAAAUACAUUCAUUUCUAUCAGUGUUCUAUACAAGUAUUUCAUUCUCUUGUCCUUCAACCCUCUGGAAGGUCCAGCGGGUCUUUUUGGCUUCGGAUCUCCUAGUUACUUAAAUAGACAAAAAAUUGGGUUAUUGAUUGGGUUAGUAUGUGAUUUAAAUAUUUUAAGUAGAAUAUUAAAUUCAUGUUUAUUUCUAGUUAUGGUAUUUGGUUUUGUAGCUUUUAAUUAUUAUUAUUAUUAUUUAAAUAAAGUUUAUGUUUUAAUUUGGUUUAUGAUUUUGCAAGUGUUCUGAAUUAUUUUUACCUCAAUCUAUUUAUCCAUAUUAUGUUUAAAGCUAUACACCUUUUAUUACUUCGGUCGCAGGUCGCGGUCGCCAAGACCGGAAUGCUAUUUUGUAUGGAAGCUGGCAUUCCUAAUCGAUCCGCCGCCGUUUUUUUUUUUUCGAAAUUGCGAAUCAUCAUGAGAGUGGUAUGUGAGUGUGAAAAGACAGACGAACGAUGGUAUAUUUAAUUUAAAAAGGUUCAUAAUAUAGUACUAUUUUUACUGGUUAUAAUUUUUUACAGGUUUUGAUUAUGAGCUGUCAAAAACGAGACGCGGGAAAGAGCUUUUGGUAUACAAAGGUUAUACUUACACCGCGAAAGUUGGCAGAAAGUACUGGUAUUGUUCAAACGGUAGUUGUAAAGCGAAAGUUCACAUGGACGAUGAUGGGUACAUCAAGUUCUGUUUCACAGAGCACAGCCACAGUCCACCGAAGUUGCACAGAUUAUCCAACGGAGAUAUUAUUCGGUUACAAUAAAAAUAUCUUAAAAACAGACUCAAGUGUAAACUGAACGAAGUGGUAAUGGAAAAAUGUAGAGAAGAUUUAUAGGUACAUGGAUGAAAUUAAAUGUAAAUAUAAUUGUUUGAAAUUAAUUAAUAAAUAAUUCUAUGGAUAACAUUCUAUUUCGAGUCUAACCACUCCUUUCUACUCAUAACCGUGUUUUUAUUAGAUGCGUUAUAUUCAAAGAUAUCAAUGAUUUCAAUCUAUUUUUGAAAAUUGCAUUAAAAUUCGUUGCUUAACUUAUAGACUCUUAAAGCAUAUGGUGGCGGAAAGAGGCUUUAUUUUACCUGUUCUACCUUUAUGUAAAUACUGUUGUAAAAAAAUUUAUGUUAUAUAAUAAUGCUACUGAUAAAAUAUAUUUUACAACAGAACUCAAAAAUAUUUUUAUAAUUGUAAUUUCACACUGUGACGCGUAUUGUCAUUAUAAAUCGAUUUAUAGUAUUUAACGGAGAAGAGUCUGGUAUAAUUCUAUUCCUGGAAGACAACUUGCCUUGGGUAGUAGUGUAUUCGUUGAUAGCACUAACGGCUUUGUGAAUGUAACGUAAAAAAACGUCAACAUAGUAGAAACGCGUCAUCAUCAUCAUAUCAGCCGAUGGACUUCCACAUAAGCAAAUGAUGGACGUCCUACAAAAGUGUAGGGACUUUUAUACACCAUGAUCCUGAGCCACCUGUAUCCAGCAAAUCCCUGCGACUCACUCGAAGUCGAACAAUACUGUGUUUUCUAGUGCCGCGUCGCCAUCGGCUCUUCGAACUAUGCGUUUAUUGCCACUUCAGCUUCGCAACUCGUUGAGCUAUGUCGGUGACUUUGAUUCUCCUGUGGAUCUCCUCAUUUUUGAUUUUCCUGCAGAGAUACUGCGAACAUAGAUCGUUCAAUCGACCACUGUGUGAUUCCGUCUGUCAUCAUCCCUAUCACAAAUGCAUUACAUCGGUACACCGGCGGCUGCGUAAUUCAAAAGUCCACGCGCGACGAGAUGUUCGCGCGAUGUUGCCAGUCAUCGACCAGUGUGGACAAUUAUGUAUCGUGCCUUAUUUUUUAGGUACUUACCCAGGUUAGGGACUUCGGUUUUAUAUGGUUUCUAAUCAGAUAAGGAUUAAGUGCGCUUACAUGCUGGCGUGAGUUAUUAGAUAUAGAGUAUGGAUGAAAUUAAAUGUAAUAAAGUAGUCAUUUAAAAAUACAAAGUUAUAAAAUUAGACAGCAGUUUUUAAACUUUAUACAACUCAACUUCUUAUUUUUAAUUUUCCAGAUUCCUAACUUCUGUCAUCUAAAUCCAAUCUAACCAACAUUUAAUUGUAAUAUUGUAUAAGUUUUACUAGUAGCAGACUCAGCAGUGAUUACAAAAAUAAGAAAACUAAUGUCGCACAACAUUUGUCAGGACCACUUAAUUAACAAAUCUAACUGUAACCAAAAUAAGACCCUAGAAUGGCAGAGAAUGACCUUGAGUGAAGUCACGCACUUGUGAACAUUGUGUUAGUUAAAGGCGCCUUUGACUGUUAACAAACACUCCCCUUUUCCACUCAAGUCACUCUCCCCGCCUAUCCCAAGUAAUUACUAAAGAAUACCACAACAAGAGAUGUGGACGGCUCGAAUGCCACGAGCAAAGAUUACAGUGUAUUAUUGGAAAUAGAUAGGUUACUCUAAUUUUUUUCGGAACGCCUGUGAUAGCGCCAUCUAGUAACUAGCCACGGCUAAAAUAGUAAUGCAUAUUUUUUGUAAAGGAGAGAGAUUUUUGAUUUUGUAAUAGUUGAAGAAACCAAUAGAGAAAAACAAAAAAAAAGACAAAAAGUUUUCCAUUGAUACCCCCGGGCUCGAACUCAGGAUUAUUAGAUCGUAUCUUAGUUGUACACUUGUCUGUCUUUCUUAAAUAAUCCCUUUGCUUUAGAAAUACAAACACAUUCUUCCUAUUACGCGUCAUAAUUAAAAGGAAAAAUAAUUCUUUUUUUUGCGCUUUUUUUUCGUGCUUAUACGGUUUCAAUCUCUAAAAACAUUUUAUUACAUACACACCUUAAGUCAUUGAAUUUACUAUCCUGGAAUCUUAAAUCUAGAAUGUAGAUGGCGCUGCUUCAUAAAGAUUUCACGUUCUUCUAAGUCCCCAUGGCAUGGCCACGAGCACACUGAAGCCGUCCGGACCGCAAAUCGUUGCAACGCGGCUAUAACACUAGGUAUUGUUUUUUUACAGGUUUUGAUUAUGAGCUGUCAAAAACGAGACGCGGUAGGGAGCUUUUGAUAUACAAAGGUUACACUUACACCGCGAGAGUUGGCAGAAAGCACUGGUAUUGUUCAAAUAGUAGUUGCAAAGCGAAAGUUCAUAUGGACGACGUUGGGCAAAUCAAGUAUUGUUUCACAGAGCACAGCCACGGUCCACCGAAAUUGCACAGAUUAUCCAAUGGACAUAUCAUUCGGUUACAAUAAAAACAUAUAAACUAAGCUAGACUAAUUGAUAAUGAUUAGAUAUAGAGAGAAUAAAAAAAAUCCUAUCUUCAGUUUCUUUAAUAUAAUUUGUGUUUUUGUUUGUACAGAUACGUAUAAUUUAAUAAAUUUUGUUGAUUCUGUAAAGGCCUUUAUUUUUUGUGCAAUUUAAAUAGCACGACGGAUUUAAGCCAUUGUUAGACAACCCGACUUGUACAGUUGGAACUAAAAGUUGUUUCAAAUUUAUUAUUAUUACAGAUCUAGAGUAUAAGCUGAUACCUUCGAGGCGGAGCAAUAAGAAGAUGUUAGUGUUCCGGGGAUACACGUUUUCACAAAAUCGUUUUUCCAGAAAUUGGUACUGUUCUAAACAGCAUUCAGAUUGCAAAGCAAAGAUUCAUAUGGAUAAGAACUGGAAAAUCAUUAGAUUUAGAAUAGAUCAUAAUCAUGAUCCACCGAAUUUGUUCAUUACGAAUUCUGGAGAAUACUUUAACAUUUAUUAAAUAUCAUCAUUACCAGGCUAUUUAAUGACAGCACACGCGUACAGCGUACACGCCCCUGAAAGAGAGAAUUGCUCUAAGGAAUUGCUCAAAUUAGGGCUCGAAUGUUUGUUUUGCCUCUGUAACCCAAAAAUUUUAUACUAUAGAUAUGUCACUAGCGUGUUUGACGUGACAAUAGAGGCAAAUUCUUCUCUCAAAUUCAAAUGUAUUAAUGUCAUUUAGUCUCAUUGUAAGAAACGAAAGUCUUUUAAACAAAUAAUACCUAAAUAAUGUCUACAAUGUCGAAUUGAGUAUUCAAGAAGUUUAUUUAAAGACUAUAUAUGCGAUAAGUAAACAUAUAAUUGUGCAUGUGUGCGCUCAAUGGAGUAACUAAAUUCGUAUCACUGUUUGAGUUGUUUUGUAGGCACGUAACAUAUCUUAAAGUAGAAAAUCUUUGCUGUAACCGGCAAAGACCCAGACCGACAGCUUAACUUGCUCUUCGACGUAUAUGUCUAACCGACUCUACCGGCUACAAUACUUACUCAGGGCUGCUACUAAGACUAUUUUAGAAAGAAGAAUUGUGCAGUAUUUCAUUCCAUAUUAAAUUAGAUUGACUAAUAAUGAAAUCGAAAUAUUUGUAAGACGAGAAAAAUUACAUAUUUUUCAUGUAUUUAUUAUACGGUACAUGCAUUAGGUACAUGUUUCAAAAUUAAUCUUAGUUUGUUUGGAUUGUUGUGUUCUCUUGAUAUUCCGGGGUUACUUAUAUAUUACAAUAACUUCCCCAGAAACUGUUACUGUUCAAAACAAUAUUCAGUAUGCAAAAUAUUUUUAAGGAUUUAUUAAAUUGUAAUAUUAUUAUUUGAUUUAAUUGUAUUAUAAUAAGGUUAUUAUUAUUAGAUUUAGAAUAAAUUAUUAACAUGAACCGCCUAACUUGAUUAUUUCCAAUCAAUAAUCUAUUAAGUCAUUCCAUUACAUUAUGUUACGAUAUUAAGUGAUUAAUAAAAUAUAGUUUUACGAUAUAAGAUUACACCAAUGUACUAGAAUUAAAUUAAUAACUUAUUAAUUUAGAAAUGUAAUUAGAUUAUUUUAAAUUAAAUUGAUAAAAUAGUUUACUAUUUUUAGUAAACUAACUAUAUUAAGUUAAAAUAAUAAUACACCCUUGGUAGAAGGGGCAUUCAUCUUAUAGAUUUUGAAUUGAAUUCAAAGGGACAUAUGUGUGAGAUACAAAAAUGUGAGUUUGAAAAGUUACCUGAAUGUAUAAUUUAAAAUUAUUGCUGUAUAUUUAAUACAUUAAUUUUGUAUCUAAUAUAAGAAUACAACUGCACUUGUAGAUUUAUUUAAAUUCCUAUCUGUCUAUCGUCUAGAACGAUUAAGCUAGGACAGUAAGUAGCUUUUGUUUUAGGCGGCAUUUUUACGUAGAGGAAGUCGUUGACGUCCGAUAUAUUGCGACGUGACAGGUAGCAGCGACAGUGAUUGUACCACUAUUUUGUGGCACAGGAAACACCUUGAGCAGGUCCCAGGAUAUCUGACCUUAAGAGUAGGUUUAAAGGAUCAUUUCAGAAUGCAAAAACAUUCGCCUUCCCUGCCUGACAUGUUGUAACCCAAUCUGAAAUCACUAACGCAACUGGCAGCGUGACGGUGUCUACGCUGCCUAACAAAAAAGUGAGCUCAAGUCAUCAAAUACCCUAUUAUUUAUACCAUCACUGAUACCUCCCCUCUGCAAUAACAUAAAUAAUGAAUGUUAAAUACCAUCCGUAAUCGAGGAACUUGUAACAUUCUCUAAAAGUUUCACUACCAUCUAUAAUUUAAAAUCUCAACUUCCAGAUCCAAAAAGUUCAAAUGACAUUUUUGAAAACACAAUUGUGCAAAUGAAGAAAGAAUUUACGGAAAGAUUAGAUAAGCUGCUAAGCCGUAAGAAAAGUAACAGUAUCAACUAUAUAAAUCAAUCUCGGUACCAGGAUUUCAUAGAAGAAGUGAAAGUACUGAAAAAUAAAUGGCCCAAGGAAUACGAAGAUUAUAAAACACUUUCAAACUACGACGUUUUGGAAGUUAACGGUAGAUAUAGACUUAUUAAACCGAAGGAUGAGGGGAAUAACAUUAAAUUCUACAUACCAACAAAUGAAUUAUUCGGUGCUCUACAUACAAUGCAUAUUUUACAUAACCAUUCUGAUUUAGAUACUUUAGAAACGCAUAUGAAAAGUAAAUAUUGUAACAUAUCCAAAGAAGUUAUCAAAAUGUAUCGUUUGUGUUGUACCUUAUGUAACCAAAAAUUAAGUUAACAUUGGUGGUAAACUCAAAAGUAUGGAAGCAUUUUUAGCACUCGAAAAAUCCAAAAUAGACUAUUAGAAUAUCGCUUGAAUAUAUUUAAAUAUACAAUAUUAAUUUAUCAAGUCUUAAAAUUAUUAAUAAUAAACUACUAAAUAUUAUUAUUAUUACUGACCUUGUAAUAACUAGCUCUAUUCAACGAAUUUUAGGCUUGAUUAUAAUAAGAAAUAAGAUUAGUUUUAUAUUUAAUUACUAUUAUGCUUAUGUUUUCUAAUAAACAAUUUUAUAACAACGUGGGGAUAUUUUUAUUGAAUUUCAGUUCUUGUUCUUUAGGAUGACAGACAAUUACUUGGUCAUAGAUUUAUAUCUAUGAUUAAGACUUUCAAAGUGCAAUGGUCAAUAUUUUAUAAAAAUACAGCACUAUUAUUUUUCGGGUGAAACAUGAAUAAAACAUACAUCAAAAGUAUCAAUGAAAUGUACAAAAUGAUACCGUUCUAAAAGCAAUAUAUUUUAUGCAAGUGUUUGUCUGUUCCAACAUCAAGUUGGGCAAAUACAAUACACCUUAUUACAUUUAAUUCCUUGGUUUAAGGCAUUUUUUCUUACGGUUACUUUUUUUCAGUCAUGUUCAUGAUCUCACGCGACGGUGAGAAGUUGAUGAAGUUUGGCGACUUUACGUUCACUCGGGAAGUCCUCGUGAGCUCCGGGGACAAGUGGUGUUGGUCCUGUUACACGCACAACCAUUACGGGUGUCAAGCGAGGGUGUAUACCGACCAAAAUAAACUGGUCUUCGCUAAGAAUUCGCACAACCAUUUACCAACAGAAUUCUUUGUAUGACAGAUUGACAAUGCUGUCGAUCUCCAUUAGAUCUGACAGUUUAUGUAUGCUUUAAUAGUAAUUUGAUUGAUGCCAACCUUCCGACUUAGAUUGAUAAAUUUGCCAUUUUACAUGUUUAAUACAUGACUUUAAUCAUUAUUUGUCUGUUACAAUGGUCUAUUGCAGGCUACAAUGUAAAUUUAAAUUGAUUUCUAUAAUCAUUAUAAUUACCGAUACUAUAAUGAUUUUAUACAUUUUUAUUCUUAUUUAACUUAUAACAUAUAUUUAUUACAAAAAAAGUUUUGAUAGGUGGCCAAUAAAUUCAAACAAUUGCGGGAGUUAGUUUAGCGCGCCGACUAAGUUGGUAGGUCGGCUCCAAUCAAAUUGGUACGUCUGUUAAGGUUAUUACUCAUAUAAAUGACUCGACAAGUAAUAAUCAUACUAUAUUAUCUUCUCUAGCGGAUAGAGAAUAUAAUACGGUGCUAAAUAUGUGAUAGUAGUGAUCUCUUAAUACAAAUCUCUUGCCUUAUUUUUGCAUGUAGUAAUAUAUUAGUACAAAUUUAGUGGCAUAAUCGUUUUGUUUUCAGUAUUAUAGUAUUAAUUGGAGUUUCUACUGUCGACACAACUCUAUAUAUUAUUGUACCUAUUUAGUUAAUUUAUAAUUUCACCUUCACAUAUUAUAUUGUACUGUUUGAAUGCACACAUAGUAAGAUUUUAGAAGUGACCUUUAUUUUGUAACACUAUUUAUUAUUUUUUUUGAAGUAAACUUUUGAUAUAAAUUUGACUUUCUUUCCAUAGAAAGCUCUAACUUUCUAGAAAAAACGCUAGAGCUCCUAAGAGCCUUCAGUUGUUUUUAUUUUAAUCAAUUUGAAAAGGGGGUUUCAAAAACCGCUGAUCAGAUUUAAAUGGGGUUUCCUUAUUUGCUUGCAUAUUUUCAAACAAAGUUAUGUAUUAACUUUAUUUGAAAAAAUAGCAUAUGCGGCUUCCUUCGGUCUUAGAACUCCCCUCUCGCAAAAUCCGUCCUUAGAGCUACGUCUACUAACUGUUAACUACCUCCGUGCCAAAUUUCACAGAACGGUCUGCCGUAAGGCCGACCAAUCAGGGGAAAGUUGACGUUUUAAGAUUGCAAUUUAACGGUUUCACAUCCGAUAGAUUUUAGCAUACCGAAAAAUAACACGUUAAAUCGUAAUCAGUAUUUUCAGUUCACAAUAUGACGGUAGAUUAUAUUGUCACGAGUGAGAUUAUAAACUAACGUAUUUUACAAUUUAACGGUAACAUAUACGUAUUAAGAUGAAGAUAAGCCAUUAUGGCUAUACCUACUCUACAGCCGUUUAUCACAAAUCCUGGGCUUUUUUUCUCUGAAUUUCUCUCAGCCACGUAAUGGACCUGGCGCCGGCGCGGUGAAACCAUAGAAUGCUAAUAUAUUCGUCUCGUUUAACCUUUUAAGUACUGUUCAUAAGGGCAUUGAUUUAUUUCCAGUAGUAGCAACAAUGUUGAAGUCCAGAAGAGGCAAGCCGCUGAUCCUCUACGACCGUUACACGUACUGUCGUCACUCCACGGUGACCUACGGCAGGACGCGGUGGGUGUGCUCCACCCACUCGUACAGAUGCUGCAAGGCGGUGGUCAUUACUCGGGGCAACAUCAUCGAGGAAAUCAAAGGCUACCACAACCACGCUUCUUCGGAGUUGUUGAUCAAUAGAUUGCUAUUCUAAUUUUAUUGAAGAGUUCGUAAGGACUUUUUCGUUUUUUUUUUUUUUAAUUUUGUACCGAAUUUUUUUUUGACUGGCAUCUCAAAUUCUUUUCACAUUCAUACUCUUUGCUUGUUUGCGUAAGAUGUGAAGUGACACAAAUUUUAUUUAUUUUUACCCCGCGGUCACACAUAUUGCUAUAAAAUUCAUAGUUUAUGUUUAUAGUUCACUUAUUGAAAAAAUGUCAUAUUUAAUGUAAGGAAGUUGUAUGAAUUUUCGUCUAAUUACAAUAAGAGAUUUUUAAUAGAUUUGAAAUUUUUUAAUCUUGAUUAUUUUGCAAAUAUACAGACAAUCUUUGCCUUUUAUGUAUAAAUUAGUUAACAUCGACCUUAUUUAACCGAAUGUAUCAUAAAAAUCAAUAUAUAUUCAAACCUAGUCAUCAUCCCCAUUACUACGCUUUCGUCAUACCCUUCGCCCUGUGUGGCGCAGAAGGUGGAAGGAGAUGGUUAAGUCAGCCAUUGACGGUCAAUUAUUCUCACGUUUCUGUAGCGCAAACGGCAGCGAAGACAUUUCAUAAGUCGAGCCGUUAUGCACGCAGUGACGACACCAAUACACAAUCAGUUAUAGUCGUGGGUGCUGCAGAAAUGUGAUAAUAAUUGAUCGUCAAUGGCGUGCAUUAUGUAGUUAAUCUUUUGAUCUCAUUUUCACCUAUAAAGAUUUCAUAUGAUUGUCAUUAUAUGUACUAGUCAUUAUAUUACGUAUAUGUAGUCUAUUUAGUAAUUGUAAAAGAGUUAAAACAAUUUAAUUGAAAUAAAAAAUGAUCUCUAAAGUUAUAUCAGAAUCCGUUCAGUAGUUUUAGUGUGAAAAAGUAACAAAUCUAUCCAUUCUCAUUGACUUCCAGAUUUGUUAAUGUUAGUAGAAUUACGUUAACUUUACUAUGUUUACUCUGAACUCAGAAUUCAAAAGAGUGUGCAGGUAAAAACAACAAGAACCCAAUGUUCUAUAUAUACAAAUUAGUAUAUAGCGAUUUUGUGAUGUGAUUAAAAGUACCUAUUUAAUUUGUGUGAUAUUCUUAAUAAAAAUAACGAGUAGGUAUUGUACGUACAAAUAUAAAAGGCUUUUAUUGAGUAACGUAUAAUAACGUAGUAUAAGUUACGAUGACUUUUAUAUCCAAAAACUUUUAAUUUAGACAGGCAGAUGCAGAUCUAUUCUAUAAGUAUAUAGAUAUAGAAGAACGAUCGACUCAUUUAUGGGUAUACUAUAAAUGAGUCGAUCGUUCUUUUUUGUGAACCCCGAUAGUUGUGAUAAAAACUUUACCGAAUUUUGUUUUUGUAAACUAUAUGAAAUAAAGAGUGCUUUUAUAAAUAAAUUAAAUUAAAUAGAAUAUAAAAUUUGCAUAAUUUAUUUAACCUACAAAAUCAUCUGCCCCUUUACACUGCGAGCAUAUGAUAGCGAGACAUUCGUGAUUUUAUAAAAGUUGAAUGUCUCUCUGCCCAUGCUCCUUUCAUAGGUAGGUAAGUACUGUAAGCAAUUAUAGAGUUUCUGAUCAUAGUGUCUUUAGGACCUUGUUUAGUUUCAAGGGUCAGUUGUGGAAAUGACGUAAUGUCAUUGGAUCAUGAGGUCUUGGGUCGGCUACAAAAUAUUAGGAUUUCUUUCGUCCCGGUCAUUAUUAGUGUAAUCAAUGUGAUCGUAAAGCAUCCUGAUAACGAUCGAAUAUUCGGUCAAAUAAUAUGGUGUUUGUCAAAUAAUUUGAUAGCUUGCGGUUACACACGCAAACAAACAAACAAACAAGUUUGUCAAACAUGUUUAGUCGUUUACAGCGUGCUUUACACCCUUACCUUUUUGUCGACACAAAGGUACAUUAUCACAGUCCAUUAAACAGUAUUUGAACAUCGUGCUGGAAUUAAACGAAAAUGAAAUAUAUACUAACUUUUUAUUAAUUAUACAGGAUGCUCGGGAGUAUUUCCCAUAACUUAAAGGUGUUGACGAGCCCUCUUAUAGAAACCGAACUGCAUAACUAAUAUUAUUUUUACUAAAAAAUAAAAACUUUUUAAAUUUUCGCACGCCUUUAUCUAUCCUUACUUUUAAAUACGUAAAACUUGGCUUUCGUCACAGUUAUGAGGAUGCGUAGGUAUAAGGGAUACAAGUUAAGAUCUAUUUACAAACGAAAUAUUAUUUACCCCGAAAAUAUAAAUUUAAAAACACAUAUUCCUUGAACAUUGUUAAUUAAUUUUCGGUAAAGAAUAUAAACCCAGAGUUAUGGGAAAUACUCCCCAGCACCCUGUAUAAAUUACGAAGAGGUAAUUGGUCCAACUUUUUAAAAUCUCUGUUCUAAUAUUCGGUGUCAUAGUUGCAGUUACGUACCAGUUGUCAAAAAAGGGGAGGCCGAUGAUGGUCGUGAACGGUUACAAGUACUCCCUCCAUUAUGCGCGGAACUCCAGGGAACGGUGGCAGUGCAGCAGACGAAGCACCUUCGGCUGUAAGGCUGUCAUACACACGUUGCAUGGAGUCACCAUCAAUUGUAAUAUAAGACACAACCAUCCUCCUUAGAAUGGGGUCCGAACAUUUGUAUGGAAACUAGCAUAAUUAAACUGACGCCAGAUGGAGCACCUUCGGUAGCAAGGCUGUCACACGUUGCAUGGAGUCACCAUCAAUUGUAAUAUAAGACACAACCAUCCUCCUUAGAAUGGGAUGGGAUUCCUACUUGUUUAUAAGGAAACUGGCAUAAUUAAACGGACGUCAUUUUGAUUAAUUUAAAUUAAAACUCGAAUGUAUGUAGCAAUUUGAAUUAUGGCCUUGGCCAAUUUGUAAAUUAUGUAAAUAUUUCUGGAACCAUAUCUAUAAAAUGGUGACGAAAAUAAUUUAUUUUUCUAAAUUAAAAUGUGAGUUAACAAAGUAGUUUUAUUUCGAGAAUGACCGAAGGGAUAUACUUAUACGCCAUUUUGACUAUUGUGGGAUAAGAUUAUUGAUUAUUUAGAGGAGAAAGGGAAAGAUUGAUCAUGUUUAAAAAGAUACGACUAAUGGUUUUUGUUUUUAUUUUUUUAUAAUAAUAAUUUAAUUUAUAAUUUUUAGCAUUACUUUAUUACUGCAUACUUUAUUUAUAAAACACAAAGAGUACAAAUACUUACUUAAAAAUACUUAUCAAAAUUUGCCGCCUUUGGUAGGGUGCCCAUCACGCAGGCAGCAUUCACACGUUGAAUUUAAAUUGAAAUUCUUUGCGCGAGAAAGUUGCCUGCCCGUUUGCUUAACUCAUUUAUAGCAUUUAAAUUUAAUUGUUAUAUAUUUUAUUUUAAAUUUCAGCGUUUGAAAACCAACCAAUCAUAAAACCAUCAUGCCCUGUAUGCGGGGACGUAGUCUCGGGCACUCACUACGGGGUCUCGACGUGCGAAUCUUGCAAGCUGUUCUUCAAAAGGUCCGUGCAGAUGAACAAGCAGUUUGAAUACUCCUGUACGAGGUACCGGGGUGUUAACUCCAGUCGCGGAACUUAUGGGGUUUGUUACAUAAACGUGGCAACUCGGUCGAUAUGUCGCCACUGUAGAUUCAAUAAGUGCAUUUUAGCGGGUAUGCAGCCAAUAAUGGUCAGAAAGCAAAGCUCUCGUUCAAUUAUUAGGUUUUAAAUUCAAUUUUAUAUAGGCCAGUCCAGCUGGCCUAUUCACUAUUUUAUUAUUUUUUUAUUAUUAAAUAAACAUCAAAUCAAUUGAAUCAAAAUGUGAUUUACCUACUGUGUGAUAUCCACCAGUAAGCACCGGAUGACAUAUUUACAUUGAAUCUUGAUUUUGUAUAUGUCAACUAGCAUAAGUCAAAGAUAGUGAAUUAGCCGGCUGGAACCGAGGAACAUUCUUACAAUUGAUAACUGUCAAUAUAAUUUUCCGCGAGUAGCUUCAUCUUGGUGAGACGAUUCAACUCUUUAUAUUUUGAAAAUUCUUAAUUUUAGUACUUACUAUAGUGCAAUGAUUUUAAACUUAUUUCGUGGUUGUUCAUUAUGAAUAUCAUUUAAACGGGUACAUGCAACUGGGUCGAAAUAUCGACAUUAAAAAUCUCGUCGUUUUAUCGUGGUAUGUACCCGUUUAAAUAAUAUUCAUACUAUAGUGCAAUUCAAUAAAAUUUUAUAGUUAUAUUUUAUCGUUUAUUAACAUGUGAUAGUGUUCGUUAAUGCAUUUAAUAAUACCACACGCAUUGGAGCAGCGUGGUGGGUCGAACCUCCAUAUCCCUUCUCUUAUAAAGAGGGACUGGCCUGGCCCUGGUAUUGUAUUUAAUUCUUUAUUAGGUAGGGUUUAUUUUUAAACUCUACCUCUCAUUACGAAAAUACAUACAUUACGAGCUCUUCCACAUAGCCCAGUGGCGUGCACAAGGUGCACUCGUUUUUAACAAGGUAGGCACCACACAUCCUAAUUGUACACAAUGGUAAAUUCCUCCUCCAUUACUGGUCUUUAAUGUGUCCUCAGGGUGAACUUUAAUCUUAAUUGAUCUAAAACUUUAAUGGACUUCCUAUGCUAGGAGUCCACAUAUCCGCAUCUUACCUAUUUAUCGGACGCAUGGCGUCAAACGGAUUUUUAAUUUUACGGUAGAUUCGUACGAUGAACGCACUUGUGUGACUUUCUAUACAAAGAAUACUAGGAUCCGUUUGUUGCGAAGCAUCCGAUACGUACGUUGCGGAUAUGUGGACGCCUACCAUAAAGAAAAGGUCUAUCUUCGGCUGUAUGUAUGUUUAUUUUAAAUAUUUAGUAUUCAAGUGCAAUUAGACUGUAAAUUAACUUUUUUAUAUACUCAUAGUGAAAUUAUUUACAUUCUGUAAAAUAGUGUGGAUAGGUUAUUUUAGUGUAAAUUAUAUUUAAUUGUGCUCAUAAACAGUUAUACCAAUUUAAUAUAUGUAGAUAGAGUUAUAUACAUAUGCAUUUUUUACUCUUUUUUAAUAAAAAAUAAGAAAAAAUAUAUAAUGCCUAACUGCCGUUAACGGUUAUUUUUUCCUAUUUACGUAAAUCUUCUGUGAUUUUAUUUUAUUAUCAUCAGUUAUAUUAUAACUGAUAAUAUAAUAAUAUUAUAAAGAGAUAUUAAUAUUCGUAUGCAAUUAGGAUAUUGUUAUUAUUUCAAUAUAAAUUUACUAAAAUUAAUAUCGAAUUGUAUGAUUUAGCAAAAAACUUGUUUGACUGUGUUGUAAAUUAUGUUUCUUUAUAAUAUUGCUAAAUAAUAUGCUAAAUAACUGCUUGAAUAUAGUAAAUUUGCAUGGUUUUAGUAAAUAUAAUUUGUUUUUCCUUUAAAAAAAAGGUAACAGAUUGGUGAAAGUUAUUUGGCUCUUUAAACUAUUAAAGUAUUAAUAUUAAAAAUGUCAAUAAUUUGGCAAUUACUUUUUCUUGAUUUACAUUAAAGAUUUAAGAAGUAUUACGAAUCAAAUCAAAAUUAAAAAAAUUAUUAACUUGUAUUUCGUUAUUAUUGUCUAAAGUGGUGGAGGGAAAUGUUAAAAUGUAUUUUAAUAUACAGUUAUUUACAAGUUUUUAUAUUUUAUGUAGUAAUUUUAUUUAAAACUUAUAUGUAUAUCUUUACAUACUUGUAUUUAUAUUAUGCACAACUGUCGUUGAUACAAUCUGUCACCGACGGGGAAAUUCGCCAGUGAGGUAUGGAUUCAAUGCCCGUCGGUUUACAAUGUUUGUAAAAAAAAAAUUACUUCAAAUAAAGCUUAAAUGUUCAAAUAUA
Molecule: long non-coding RNA, 20089 nt
Organism: Bicyclus anynana (squinting bush brown)
Lineage: Eukaryota; Metazoa; Arthropoda; Insecta; Lepidoptera; Nymphalidae
Exons: 2
Source: RefSeq, a predicted model, not a curated record